UCGCUUCAGCAGCACAUAUGCUGAAAUUGGAAUGACACAGAUGAUUAGCAUGGCCCCUGCACAAGGGUAACAUGCAAAUUCAUGAAGUGUUCCACGUUAAA
Cavia porcellus (domestic guinea pig) is the source of this 101-nucleotide small nuclear RNA. The record is from Ensembl. Lineage: Eukaryota; Metazoa; Chordata; Mammalia; Rodentia; Caviidae.